RNAcentral lists this ribosomal RNA (153 nucleotides) under Paenibacillus popilliae. RNAcentral describes it as "partial 16S ribosomal RNA". It matches the Rfam family "Bacterial small subunit ribosomal RNA", at positions 1381 to 1533 of the family's 1533-position model. The record is from RNAcentral. RNAcentral also lists the same sequence under 1 other name. Lineage: Bacteria; Bacillati; Bacillota; Bacilli; Caryophanales; Paenibacillaceae.
UUGUACACACCGCCCGUCACACCACGAGAGUUUACAACACCCGAAGUCGGUGGGGUAACCGCAAGGAGCCAGCCGCCGAAGGUGGGGUAGAUGAUUGGGGUGAAGUCGUAACAAGGUAGCCGUAUCGGAAGGUGCGGCUGGAUCACCUCCUUU